UUAAGGAGGUCAACCUCUACCUUAACCUUAGCCACUUAGGCCUAGAAAAUUUUGCAGUGGCAACAUCAACAUGCAAGAACCUCCAAUUGGCCUAACAAUUUGCUUUAAACAUGGAAUUGAGAAACAAUUGGCUUUUAAAUUAGGUAAUAACACCCACACAGGGGCCAAAAUGUCUCAAAUCGAGUAUCAAAAGCAGCAGUCCAUCGAAACAAUCGCAUAGGAUGUUUUCCAUUAGAAGAAAUUUGACCCUUAACUAAAAUAUCCACACAAUCAUUAGGAUUUGAGAAUGCUAAAAACACAUGUCUAGGAUCCAUCAGGCCAAUUUCCACAGUUCCACGAAGCACAAAAGUUUUAGCAAAAUAAGAUCUAAUUUCAGACAAAAGUGGUUUACCAUGAGAAAAUUUUCCAACUAACAUAAUAUUUUUAAUUUUAUUCAUCUGUUGGAUUUCAUUAUCCUCAAAAGUAAUGCAUGGUUCCCCACGAUGUGUUUCAACAAUUUUGUAAGAGAUAACUGGCACAGGAAUGUGACUGGAAAUAGACACAUUAUGACCACCCGGGUUCGAAGCUGUAAACAAUUGAGCAAAGGAAUGUACUUGUGUACUUGGAACUUGUGCAUUUGAACGAUUAAUGGGUUGUGAGGAGGGCUGAAAAUUAACCCUUUGUCUAACUGCAUUAUUUCAAUUAUUUUUUGUACUACCACCACGUGUAGCACUUGGUAAAUUGUUAGCAGUAUUGGCAUUAUCAACCGUAGGCAAAGUAGUACCCACAUUCGUAUUAUUUAAUGAACCCAAGUUAUGCACAGUAGGUAAAUUAUUCAAGCCAUGCACAUUGCUAACAACAUUAUUCAAACCAUUUCUAGUAAGAGCAACAUUGCUCACACCAUGCACGGUAGUUGAGGUAGAAUUAUUUGUAAUAGAAAAAUUACUAACAUUAGCAAUAUCACCAUGUGCAGCACUUAAUAAAUUAUUAGCAUUAUGAAUAGUACCCGUUAUAGGCAAUGUAGUAGGAGAAGAAUUGAAAUUAGAAGUCAAAUUAUUGCCAUUUUGGCUACCAACUGUAGCAUUACCUGAUCCUAUAGCAUUAUUGAAUGGAAGUGUUCCAUCCAUAUUGAGAGGCUGCCUCUCACGUGAGUUUGAUACAGCAACACCGUUGGGCAAUCCAUCAGAAUGCCACGUUUGCCCACAUAGAGCCAGUUCAACACCAGUGACACCAUCGUAGUUUCGUGCAUCACCUUGAGCCGACGUAAAAAUGAAUGGAGGAGGAAACUAUGAUCGAUCAUCACCGGUUGAGAAGCCAUCAACGCUGGACCUGGGUGAUGAUCGCUACUUUCCAAAGUUGUCGAAGGUGAAUGCGUCGCUACAGGGGGGUUAACGCCGGUCACAGUGCCGGUCUCCAAAAGCGAAAUUGAAGGAACCGUAAACCCACAGUGGCGGAGACCAUCAAGAAAACGUCGCAAGAUGGCAUCCGAUAAUUCAUGGGGGGAUUACUCUGUCGCGAUUCUUCUUGGGCCGAAGUCAUCGCCUAUGAAAAUUGUGACGAGGCACACUGAGUCUGUCGGAUGCCUUGUUAAACACUAAACAGGCCACUGUUCCUACCGUGUCUCCUGUUGCCCAACACACUAAAGCUUUGGUGGCAAAACGCACUCGGAGAACUCGGUCAGCGUCGGAGCAAUCUAACGUUGUGGGGUUCUACUAGGAGGCGUUAGAUGAUGAUAGUGAUUCAUCAAUGGUCGGUAGAGUUCUACAUUGAAUCUGCGGGGGACGCCAUAGGUCGUUUUCCAGGAGCCAUGGCUCGCCCCCUAAGAGUACUCAACUACUCAAGUGCCAUUUGGUGGCAGGGUCACUAGAUCUCAGGUACGUAAGGAGCAGAGUAGUGCGGCAGUUGGCACGCCUAUCUCUUCUCAAUCCCCUUCCUUUUAAACGAUGCGAUUUCUUGUUUGGAAUGUGCGGGGGAUUGCCUCGCCGUGGUUCUUUUCAAAGAUUGCAUGUGUUGCUUAGAAAACAUAGGCCUUUCAGUUUGUGUCUUCUUGAACCAUUUUGUGAUACUGAUAGGUUAGAUUCCUUUAGACUACGACUAGGCUUUGACUCUACUUUUGCUGGGGUAAAUGAUAAGGAAUGUAUGUUUUGGCCACUAAGCUUUGCAGGUUAAGGAAUGUUCUUGCUCCUUGGAGCAAGGAAACCUUUGGCAAUAAUAUUUCUAAGUUGCAGGAACUUGAGGAUUAGGUGCAAGUUUUGGAGGAGGUGGUGCAACAGAACCCAGAUGAUAGGGCCCUCAUUGACUAUAAGGAAAGUGUGGCUCUAUUGCAGAGACAAGUUUCUAUUGAGGAGGAAUACUGGCAACAAAAAGCUCACAUGGUGGUUGUUCAGGAGGGUGAUAGGAACUCUAAGUUCUUUCACUUGAUGGUAAAGGAGAAAAGGAGGAAACUCUACAUUCAUAAGGUUAAAGAUGACACAGGGCACUGGAUUGAGGAUAGCCAAGGGAUAGCACAACAAGUUGUCUCUUUUUUUGAGGUUAUGUUCACCGCGGAGAGGUGUGAAUCCUAAGAUGCAUACAUGUUAUGCACUAGGGACAUAUUCAUGUGAUUUGGUCAUUUCAAAACACUAAAUACUGUUUUAUCUACAAGUGCACCAAGUGGAGAAUGUUAACUAACUGAAGGUAAUUAAGUAAAGACUAGUUUCUUGUAUUGAUUGUGUCCUUACUUGGUCCAACUAUAUGUAUAUUUGAGAAGUUAAAAGUAUUGUCAUAAUAUCUUGAUUCACACAUAUUUAGGGAAUUGAAUGGACCAGAAAUUGCUAUA
Ipomoea triloba (trilobed morning glory) is the source of this 2797-nucleotide RNA transcript. RefSeq lists it as uncharacterized. The transcript has 2 exons. Lineage: Eukaryota; Viridiplantae; Streptophyta; Magnoliopsida; Solanales; Convolvulaceae. The record is from RefSeq and is a predicted model, not a curated record.